Molecule: ribosomal RNA, 497 nt
Filed under: uncultured bacterium
Lineage: Bacteria
Description: partial 16S ribosomal RNA
Rfam family: Bacterial small subunit ribosomal RNA
Source: RNAcentral
GACGAACGCUGGCGGCGUGCCUAAUACAUGCAAGUAGAACGCUGAAGAGAGGAGCUUGCUCUUCUUGGAUGAGUUGCGAACGGGUGAGUAACGCGUAGGUAACCUGCCUUGUAGCGGGGGAUAACUAUUGGAAACGAUAGCUAAUACCGCAUAACAAUGUAUGACACAUGUCAUUUAUUUGAAAGGGGCAAUUGCUCCACUACAAGAUGGACCUGCGUUGUAUUAGCUAGUAGGUGAGGUAAUGGCUCACCUAGGCGACGAUACAUAGCCGACCUGAGAGGGUGAUCGGCCACACUGGGACUGAGACACGGCCCAGACUCCUACGGGAGGCAGCAGUAGGGAAUCUUCGGCAAUGGGGGCAACCCUGACCGAGCAACGCCGCGUGAGUGAAGAAGGUUUUCGGAUCGUAAAGCUCUGUUGUAAGUCAAGAACGGGUGUGAGAGUGGAAAGUUCACACUGUGACGGUAGCUUACCAGAAAGGGACGGCUAACUACGUG